UAGAUACCCUAUUAUUUUAAUUGUAAAUAAAAAAUUUAAUUAGUAUUAGUUAAAGUCUCGAAAGUUAAAGAAUUUGGCAGUAUUUCAUUCCUUUUGGAGGAACCUGUCCUUUAAUCGAUAAUCCACGAUUUAUUUAACUUGGUUUAAUUAGCUUGUAUAUCGUCGUAGUUGAGUAUUCUAGUAGGAUAAAUAUUCGAUUAAAAUUAUAUUUUUAUAAAUCAGAUCAAGGUGCAGCUUAUAAUCAAGGUUGAGAUGGGUUACAAUGAAAUUAUUUAUACGAAUAUUUGUUUUGUAAUAAUUUUUUGAAGGAGG
Molecule: ribosomal RNA, 312 nt
Filed under: Coelostoma orbiculare
Lineage: Eukaryota; Metazoa; Arthropoda; Insecta; Coleoptera; Hydrophilidae
Description: partial 12S ribosomal RNA
Source: RNAcentral